GAACGUAGAUGACUGUAGUGAAGCUUACAUCUCUUCGGAGCAUUUACGAGGUGCUGCAUGGUUGUCGUCAGCUCGUGCCGUGAGGUGUCGGGUUAAGUCCCAUAACGAGCGCAACCCCUACCUUUAGUUGCCAUCAGGUAAUGCUGGGGACUCUAAAGGAACUGCCUACGCAAGUAGUGAGGAAGCGGGGGAUGACGUCAAAUCAGCACGGCCCUUACGUCCAGGGCUACACACGUGCUACAAUGGCCGAUACAGAGGGCAGCUACCUGGUGACAGGAUGCAAAUCUCCAAAGUCGGUCUCAGUUCGGAUCGGAGUCUGCAACCCGACUCCGUGAAGUUGGAUUCGCUAGUAAUCGCGCAUCAGCCAUGGCGCGGUGAAUACGUUCCCGGGCCUU
This 395-nucleotide ribosomal RNA is filed under the name uncultured Sphingobacteriales bacterium. RNAcentral's name for it is "bacterial SSU rRNA". It matches the Rfam family "Bacterial small subunit ribosomal RNA", at positions 983 to 1382 of the family's 1533-position model. Lineage: Bacteria; Pseudomonadati; Bacteroidota; Sphingobacteriia; Sphingobacteriales. The record is from RNAcentral.